RNAcentral lists this long non-coding RNA (632 nucleotides) under Homo sapiens (human). Its description in RNAcentral is "HSALNT0243569". The record is from RNAcentral. Lineage: Eukaryota; Metazoa; Chordata; Mammalia; Primates; Hominidae.
CUUUUAUAUCAAAUAGUAGUAAAAUAGAUAGACACAAGGUGGACCAUAGCAAAAUAUGCUCCCAGGUUUAACGGGUUUCAGCAACAAGACGCCCAAGAACUUCUGGCUUUUCUCUUGGAUGGUCUUCAUGAAGAUCUUAAUCGAGUCCAUGAAAAGCCAUAUGUGGAACUGAAGGACAGUGAUGGGCGACCAGACUGGGAAGUAGCUGCAGAGGUUUGUCAGUUUUGAGUUUCUAAUGCCUGAGACAACCAUCUAAGAAGAAAUAGAUCAAUUGUUGUGGAUUUGUUCCAUGGGCAGCUAAGAUCUCAAGUAAAAUGCAAGACAUGUGGGCAUAUAAGUGUCCGAUUUGACCCUUUCAAUUUUUUGUCUUUGCCACUACCAAUGGACAGUUAUAUGCACUUAGAAAUAACAGUGAUUAAGUUAGAUGGUACUACCCCUGUACGGUAUGGACUAAGACUGAAUAUGGAUGAAAAGUACACAGGUUUAAAAAAACAGCUGAGUGAUCUCUGUGGACUUAAUUCAGAACAAAUCCUUCUAGCAGAAGUACAUGGUUCCAACAUAAAGAACUUUCCUCAGGACAACCAAAAAGUACGACUCUCAGUGAGUGGAUUUUUGUGUGCAUUUGAAAUUCC